GCCUGAGCCCGUGCCUGUCUUCAGAUCUUCACAGCACAGUUCCUGGGAAGGUGGAGCCACCAGCCUCUCCCUGACAAGCAAAGUGGAUCAGCAAAGGCUGCAGUCACCAGCAUCUUUUCCAACCUUAAUGAACUGUAUCCUCAAAAGAACACUAUCAGACUGGCUCUGCCGACUUCCAGUUCUGGAACAAGAUGGUUAAACUCAUUUUUCCCUGCUCUGCUCCUCUAAAUACAACUAAGUACCUUGGAAACUAUUCAGCAGACAAUGAUAAAGGGCUCUGAAAGCUAGAAGAAAAGGUGUACUUGCAAGAAACCUCAGGACUUGAGUAACAGCAACAUGGAGCAGGCACAGAGAAAGAGCACCCUCACUACAUGGCUGGGGUCACAAGUGGCCUGACAAUAUCCAACUGUCCUGGAAAAAUGAAAAAAAACAGACUUCUGCCCAGAAUUAUUCUUCUAUGGUGCUGGUGGAAGUGGGAUGAGGCCUGUUUCAAAGUGAAUUUAAAGGAGUGAAGCUAGUGGACUGUGAGUUGGACUAAAAUGCAGGAGGCCAAGCAAAUGGCCAUCAGAAGCCCUGCCCCAGGCCUGUGCCAAUUCCCAUGAGGGCGUGAGCUGGAUGCUGCAGCUGGACUCUGCUGUAAUGGACACGGUGGCCCUCUGGGACCUGAUGCUGACAGUGCAUCCUGUGACCAUGGGAAAGCCUGCAACCAGAAAAGCCAGCAGCACAAAGGGGCGUAGCACUUAAGUCUGUUGUUAUUACUGCUAUUGCCUCUUCAGAAUACUUCCCAAUAACAUGCUCGUCGAAAUGGAAUGAAAACCAACACCAAAUGCUUCCCAGUUAAUAACAGAUCGCUCGAACUGUGCAAGAUACAGGCAGAUAUUAACUCUUGUUCUGACUCAAUUUCACUUUAUCAUGAAAAUACACUGGACCAAAUCUAUGCAUCUGAGUCCAGACUGGAGUUGCAUCACAAAAAGUGAUGAGGAAAGACGCAAAAAUAGUCUGAAAUUUUGCCACAGAUGCAACUGAAUUUAUAAAGAAAACCAGAAUCAUGGUAUUCUGAGGACUACAAAUGAUUCAACAAAGCCUGAGAAUCUCCCUCAUUUGGAAUUCCACUGUGCCCGAUUUAUUUUCCAUUGCCAAGGCACUACUGGUAAAGCUAUACAAAAUGAAGCACACCCACUGAAGGUUCAGGGACCAUGGCAGAAGAGCAAGGCACAUGAGACUGUAAGAGCCAGAUUGGGAGCUGGAGUGUGGAGGCCAAACAACUCCAUCUUGUAUGCUAAUCUGCUGUGUUAACUUCUGAUUAACCCUGGUUUUGCGAAUGCCUCCAAGAUUUCUAUUUUAUCUACUGUUCCUUGGGUAUGAGCAUGUACUUACCAUCAAUCCUGUCCUUAGUUUGAUAUUAUCUUUCCAUAAAUCCUGAACUUAAGCCAACUGUCCUAUACAUCCCUUCUGAAGCAUAUAUACACUUUCCCUAUGGCUCAUAAGCCCUGGGUCUGGAGUGUAACCAUGCACGGAUCUACCAUCUCAUCUUGAGGCUGCCCGAGAUAGGGUUUCUGUUUGUAAAUACCUAUUAAAUGUUUCUUUCUGAGAAAACAAUAAGAAGAAAAGAGAGGAAAGGUCUCAAAACAUUAUUCCAAGUGUCUGUCUCAAGAAACUAGGAAAAGAACCUAGCACAAAGCAAGCAAAAGGAAAUAAUAAACAAUAAAUUUAAUAAUAGGAAAGUAGAGAAAAAUCAGUGGAACAAAAAGCUGAUUAAAAAAAUCAAAACUGAUAAACUUUUGGAAAGACUGACAGAGAUAAAAAAGACACAAAUUACCAGUAUUAGAAAUGAAGCAGGGGUUAUCACAACAGAUCCUGCAUCCAUUAAAAAUAUUGGAAUGCUACAAAUACUUUUCACAUUCAUAAAUUCAACAACUUAGAAGAAAGGGACCAAUUCUUCAAA
This is a long non-coding RNA of Homo sapiens (human), 1945 nucleotides long. Ensembl annotates it as MIR4435-2 host gene. NCBI's taxonomy places the organism in Eukaryota, Metazoa, Chordata, Mammalia, Primates, Hominidae. The record is from Ensembl.